RNAcentral lists this ribosomal RNA (793 nucleotides) under uncultured bacterium. RNAcentral's name for it is "bacterial SSU rRNA". It matches the Rfam family "Bacterial small subunit ribosomal RNA", at positions 62 to 850 of the family's 1533-position model. The record is from RNAcentral.
UCGACGGGAAUGCCACGCUGAUGCGAUUUCGGUCAAAUCAUGUGGCAUUCGAGUGGCGGACGGGUGAGUAACGCGUGGGUAACCUGCCUUACACAGGGGGAUAACACCUGGAAACAGGUGCUAAUACCGCAUAAGCGCACAGGGCCGCAUGGCCCGGUGUGAAAAACUCCGGUGGUGUAAGAUGGACCCGCGUCUGAUUAGCUUGUUGGCGGGGUAGGGGCCCACCAAGGCGACGAUCAGUAGCCGGCCUGAGAGGGUGGACGGCCACAUUGGGACUGAGACACGGCCCAAACUCCUACGGGAGGCAGCAGUGGGGGAUAUUGGACAAUGGGGGAAACCCUGAUCCAGCGACGCCGCGUGAGUGAAGAAGUAUUUCGGUAUGUAAAGCUCUGUCAGCAGGGAAGAAAGAAAUGACGGUACCUGACCAAGAAGCCCCGGCUAACUACGUGCCAGCAGCCGCGGUAAUACGUAGGGGGCAAGCGUUAUCCGGAAUUACUGGGUGUAAAGGGAGCGUAGACGGUGAUGCAAGUCUGGAGUGAAAGGCGGGGGCCCAACCCCCGGACUGCUCUGGAAACUGUGUAACUUGAGUGCAGGAGAGGUAAGCGGAAUUCCUAGUGUAGCGGUGAAAUGCGUAGAUAUUAGGAGGAGCACCAGUGGCGAAGGCGGCUUACUGGACUGUAACUGACGUUGAGGCUCGAAAGCGUGGGGAGCAAACAGGAUUAGAUACCCUGGUAGUCCACGCCGUAAACGAUGAUUACUAGGUGUCGGUGGGUAUGGACCCAUCGGUGCCGCA